UUAAGCGCAGCAAAACUUGGGUUAGUUUUUUUAAAAGCAGGAAGAUAAUGGUUUACAUUCAGAACCUAGUAGUUUAAUAUUUAGCACGGCAUCAGUUGUAUUAAAUGGAUUAUUUUACAAGCUCUAGGAGUUUCAUAUUUUUAUGACUUGAAAGUUCUCAUUCUUAAGAAAUGUAAAAUUAAUGCCAGUUUUUGACUAGCUAACGGAAAUUUGUAACACUACCUAUAAUUUAGCCUUACAGGCUUCUACAAUAAAGUAAUUCAUUUUUUUGUGGAAUUAUAUUAAGUGAGCUAUUUGGGCUAGUUAAAUAUUUACUAAUGACUUCUCCCAUUAGCACACAAGUAUAUUAUUCCCUAUUCUAAAAGAUUGUAAUAUUACUUUUUCAAUAACUGCUCUUUUGUUCUCAAUUCCAGUUCAGUAGCUGCUGCUUUAAACAUAAGUUGAUUUCUUCCAAAGACCUGAGGCAGCAGCAGUGGGCUAUCACUGGGCCACUAGCUUUCUUCAGCAGCGAAUGGUAUCAAUGGCAGUGCAGCACUGUACAUACUGCUACUUUACCCAGUUGGGUUGCAAUUGAGUGAGAAAGUAUUGCAAACCUCUAAGUGGGCUUUGACUGUCAGACUUGUAUUUUUUUUUUGUUUGUUACAAAAAAACGUAGUUGGUUUAGUGAUGAGAAUGCACAACUCUGGGUGUGAUAAAUAGACCAAAGGAUAAAAAUAACUGUUUCAAAAGUAUCAGCUGUGGUGUCAGCCUGCUGUGUUAGAUGGAAGGCAUUGGAGCUUAGCUUCUCAUGUUUUCUUGUACAAAUUGGCUUUAUUCAGAUUUGUAAGAGUGUCAAUGUAAAACUCUUUCUGACUGGAAUAUCCUUUACAGAAGGUUCAGAUAGUCAUCUGAGCCUUUUUAAAAGAAAAAACUGCAGGUGAAAAAGGAGUUAGUUGAUUUGAAAGUUUUAGUGAAAUUCUGGGUUGUAUAAAUAAGUUGCUAGGAAUUGGCAAGGUAGUGAAGUGGUGACUCACGCAGGUAAUGUAAUUGUUAGAUUUUUUAGCAAAUCAGUUAGAAAUAUGUCAAUAUAAGUACAAUGCUGAAUUCAAACAAUCUGUUGAAUUAAAUUUUGUUUAUUAGAGUAAUUCUAAUUUAAGAAAAAUUCCAAACUGUAGAUUUAUUUUUCUUUGAUCAGUGAAAAGAAAAUGAAUUCCAGUUUGACUUUAGCUGUUCAAGUGAGAAGUCUGAGAAAGUGCAUGUUAAUGAGCCAGUGACCCAUAGGUAGCUGGGUUAAAGACACUUUGGAUUUGGAUAAUCCGGGAAGCAAUUAAUCCCUAAUUGUUGAACAGGCAGUCCUGGGUAAAGAGGACCUAAAAUGCUGCACUAUUAACAGCAUUAGACGGCCAGGUUUGUACUUCAUAGAUGUAGGCUGUCGUCUUCACAAGUUUUAGAAAAAGAAUUUAGGAGCUAGAGCCCUGGUGCAGGAUCAACAGCAGUUCGUACUCCUAUUUUAAAAUAAUUUGGUCGUGGCCUGCCUUCAGUUUUAAUGUGGCACUGGUAAAUCUACCUGGUUCUGGCAUGCUUCACUUUGAUUUCCUGCUAUCCUCUACUGCUUGCCUCUAAAUCAAGGUAAAGAGCAGAGCAGGUAUGUAUUAAUGUCACAUUGUCUUGAUUAUUUUAAAUACUUAAAAUAUACAUGUAAAACCUUGGUAUUAGUUUCACAGGCAGUUUAGUUUUCAGUACACAAUUUAACAGGAGUGACUUGGUGGGAGUGGGGCUUUAAACUGAAAAUUGGAACAACAGCAUGAUGUGGAGAAAAGUUGUGCAGCAUUAAGAAGUACAUGCAAAAAUUAAGUAACCAAGUUUUGUCUACAUAGCAGAUAUGUUUACAUUGGAUGUCAGAAGUAACACAGUAUUUGAUAUAAUUACAGAUAAUUGUGAUCUACAUUUUAAAAUAUCAAGAGAUCGUCUCAGUGCUUCUUCCCUUACAAUGGAGAGUUUUGCUUUUCUUUGGGCUGGAGGAAGAGCAUCCUAUGGUGUGUCAAAAGGCAAAGUGUGUUUUGAGAUGAAGGUAAAUGUAAUUUUAUGAUUUGUUUGUUUGUUUUUGGAGACAGUCUCACUCUGUCCCCUAGGCUGGAUUGCCGUGGUGCAACCUAGGCUCACUGCAACCUCCGUGUCCUGGGUUCAAGUGAUUCUCCUUGCCUCAGUCUCUCAAGUAGCUGGGACUAAAGGCAGACACCACCACACCUGGCUACUUUUUGUAUUUUUAAUAGAGAUGGGGUUUCACCAUGUAGGCCAGGCUGGUCUCCAACUCCUGACCUCAGGUUAUCCACUGUCUCAGCCUCCCAAAGUGCUGGGAUUACAGGCAUGAGCCACCAUGCCCAGCCUUUUUUUUCUUUUUAAAAGAGUGACAGGGUCUCAUCAUGUUGCCCAGGCUGGUCUUGAACUCCUAAGCUCAAGUGAUCUGCCCGCCUGAGCCUCCCAGAAUGCUGAAAUUAAAGGUGCUUCAUACUGCUAAGUUAUCAAAGGUACUUAUUUUUGAAGCUUCCUGUAAAUUAAAAGAGGAGCUUGGAGUCUUCAUUUUGUUGUUGUGACAGUUAAUCACGGUUGUUAUGUUAGAACUUGCCAUGCAGAGCUAGGCGAUUUUUUAUUUAGGGUACUUCAUUUUUAUCACGCAUUUGAAAGGGCCACCAAAGAGUUAAAAAUAAAAUUUGGUUAGAUUACUGCUUUUGUUGGUGAGAAAAACAUUACUUGUAUCCUUUAAUUGGCUUUAAGUUAAAGACAGACAACAUGAACUUUAAAAAUAUUAAGUAUUCUUUUAAAUAUGGAUCAAAUAAGUAUUAAACUCUUUAAAUUUCAAGUUGUAAGCAAAUCAGUUUAAAGUUCUUAGAAAUAUUGGGGGUGGGCUAGAGUGUGCCUUCUUUGUAUUUAUAGCUAGAGGAAGAUUAGCCCAUGGCGCAAUGAAAUAAGCCAGAGUUAAGGGGUUACCUCCUUGGUGUAUUAUUUUAAUUAUUUAAUGAUUUGACUUUCAGGUUACAGAGAAGAUCCCAGUAAGGCAUUUAUAUACAAAAGAUAUUGACAUACAUGAAGUUCGUAUUGGCUGGUCACUAACUACAAGUGGAAUGUUACUUGGUGAAGAAGAAUUUUCUUACGGGUAUUCUCUAAAAGGAAUAAAAACAUGCAACUGUGAGACUGAAGAUUAUGGAGAAAAGUUUGAUGAAAAUGAUGUGAUUACAUGUUUUGCUAACUUUGAAAGUGAUGAAGUAGAACUCUCCUAUGCUAAGAAUGGUCAAGAUCUUGGCAUUGCCUUCAAAAUCAGUAAGGAAGUUCUUGCUGGACGGCCACUCUUCCCGCAUGUUCUCUGCCACAACUGUGCAGUUGAAUUUAAUUUUGGUCAGAAGGAAAAGCCAUAUUUUCCAAUACCUGAAGAGUAUACUUUUAUCCAGAAUGUCCCCUUAGAGGAUCGAGUUAGAGGACCAAAGGGGCCUGAAGAGAAGAAAGAUUGUGAAGUUGUGAUGAUGAUUGGCUUGCCAGGAGCUGGAAAAACUACCUGGGUUACUAAGCAUGCAGCAGAAAAUCCAGGGAAAUAUAACAUUCUUGGCACAAAUACUAUUAUGGAUAAGAUGAUGGUAAGUAAAAUGUUUAGGGCCUGAUCUCAGUGUUUAAAAUAGACUAGGAGAGGCUGGGCAUGGUGGUUCACGCCUGUAAUCUCAGCAUUUUGGGAGGCUGAGGUGGAUGGAUCACCUGAGGUCAGGAGUUUGAGACCCACCUGGCCAACAUGGCAAAGCCCCGUUCCUACUAAAAAUAAAAAAAUUAGCUGGGCGUGGUAGUGGGUGCCUGUAAUCCCAGCUGCUCGGGAGGCUGAGGCAGGGACAAUUACUUGAACCUGGGAGGCAGAGGUUGCAGUGAGUUGAGAUCAUGCCAUUGUACUACAGUCUGGGCAACAGAGCAACACUCCGUCUCAG
RNAcentral lists this small RNA (3944 nucleotides) under Pongo abelii (Sumatran orangutan). Its description in RNAcentral is "retained intron". Lineage: Eukaryota; Metazoa; Chordata; Mammalia; Primates; Hominidae. The record is from RNAcentral.